UUUCGGCUCAUCCGCGUCCAACAGUUUAAUCGCUUCUUCGCCGGUCGAAACAACUGUUACAUCGUAUCCGCCGUCUUUCAGGGUUUCUUCCAACAACGCCUGAAGUAGCAUUUCGUCCUCGACGACAAGGAUGAGUAUUUCAUCGUUCACGGUGCACCCUUCUGGCUGGCCUGGGUCGCUAGAAUCCUGCGCAGCCCAAUGNGAAAUCGCGGGGAGCCGGCGGUUGAAGAACGCGUGGUUCAUGCUUUCAUACCCCCAAUGCU
This 263-nucleotide unclassified non-coding RNA is filed under the name Hevea brasiliensis (rubber tree). Lineage: Eukaryota; Viridiplantae; Streptophyta; Magnoliopsida; Malpighiales; Euphorbiaceae. The record is from RNAcentral.